AAUUUUUAUGAGGAGAGAAAAUACAGGUUUCAUCUUGGGCAGAGUUUGUAAAUCAAUUAAGGUAAGAUCCAAAAAUAAGUAUGAGGAUUUUUAUUCUCUGCUGUCUUUUUUCAUAGAUGUUGAAGAUUUUCCUAGACAUUUAUAUUUUUAAAUCCUAUUAAAACAAUGAGGUUUGGCAAUUAGUUCUGUCCAGGAUUAAUUUCAUGCAGGAAUAUACAUCUGUAGGUUUAAUUUUAUGGAUAUAUACAUACACACAUACCUAGUUUAGUGGUUCCUUUGUAAUUAAAUAGAUUAUGUAGGCAAUAUGAGGACUUGUGAAUACGUCUCCAGUUGUUACCAUGGAAACAGAAUUUUUAGAGUUGCUCUGUAGAGUGGUGUGAUGCUGAUUAAAGAGUUUAAGCACUUCAUUUUAAAAUUAGUUGAAAGAGUCAGCCAGGAAGAAGCUUCAUCUUGCUGGGUGGGUGGGGCCACCCAUGCCAGGCUGCCACAGCCAUGACUCUACUUUUCAAGCUGUUUGAUCUAAGGAGGUCAGGAGGUCUCCCUAACUCGCAUUUCAUCAACCUCAACAGCACAUGGUUUCAAAUAUCAAGGGAAAAAUUGUCUGAUGGCCAGUUGUGUGGCAAAACUGCUUGUGGCGAAAGUUCUUAUGGAAAAAAUACCUUGACUAAAACAACAAUGACCGUUACGUUGUUACGAAAUGCUUUGAAAAUUGGCUCCACUUUUCACUCAAGAUGGAGUCUUUCCUGGGAAGACACAAAUAAGCCCUUAAAGAUAAAGUGAACAUUUCAUUUAGUGCCUGUACCACUUUUUUUAGCAGUGUUCCAGAAUUUAUGUUAUAACUUCAAUAUAUUACAAGCUGUGUAUCAACUUGGCAUCUUAGUCUCUGUGAAUUUUGUUUAAAUUAUGUGAAAAAUGCAAUUUGACCCCAAGGAAAGAUUGAAUAUAUACUACUUCUGUGC
This 959-nucleotide long non-coding RNA is filed under the name Capra hircus (goat). RNAcentral's name for it is "lncRNA (ENSCHIG00000002610.1)". The record is from RNAcentral. Lineage: Eukaryota; Metazoa; Chordata; Mammalia; Artiodactyla; Bovidae.